UAGUAAAAAAAACUUACAUGGCAUCGC
RNAcentral lists this small RNA (27 nucleotides) under Bombyx mori (domestic silkworm). Its description in RNAcentral is "ovarian small RNA-22821". The record is from RNAcentral. Lineage: Eukaryota; Metazoa; Arthropoda; Insecta; Lepidoptera; Bombycidae.